RNAcentral lists this ribosomal RNA (493 nucleotides) under uncultured bacterium. RNAcentral's name for it is "bacterial SSU rRNA". It matches the Rfam family "Bacterial small subunit ribosomal RNA", at positions 15 to 518 of the family's 1533-position model. The record is from RNAcentral.
GAUCAUGGCUCAGGAUGAACGCUGGCGGCGUGCCUAACACAUGCAAGUCGAACGGAGUUGAUCGGAAGCUUGCUUUGAUCAACUUAGUGGCGGACGGGUGAGUAACGCGUGGGUAACCUGCCUCAUACAGGGGGAUAACAGUUGGAAACGACUGCUAACACCGCAUAAGAUCGUAGUACCGCAUGAUACAGCGAUCAAAUAUUUAUAGGUAUGAGAUGGGCCCGCGUCUGAUUAGCUAGUUGGCGGGGCAAUGGCCCACCAAGGCGACGAUCAGUAGCCGGCUUGAGAGAGUGACCGGCCACAUUGGGACUGAGACACGGCCCAAACUCCUACGGGAGGCAGCAGUGGGGAAUAUUGGGCAAUGGGUGCAAGCCUGACCCAGCGAACCGCCGCGUGAGUGAAGAAGUAUUUCGGUAUGUAAAGCUCUAUCAGCAGGGAAGAUAAUGACGGUACCUGACUAAGAAGCCCCGGCUAACUACGUGCCAGCAGCAGC